GAUGAACGCUAGCUACAGGCUUAACACAUGCAAGUCGAGGGGUAACGUUGCGGAAGCUUGCUUCUGCAGACGACGACCGGCGCACGGGUGAGUAACGCGUAUCCAACCUGCCCCAUGCUCUGGGAUAACCUUCCGAAAGGGAGCCUAAUACCGGAUGCGGUGCGACGAUGGCAUCAGAAUUGCACCAAAGAUUCAUCGGCAUGGGAUGGGGAUGCGUCUGAUUAGCUUGUUGGCGGGGUAACGGCCCACCAAGGCGACGAUCAGUAGGGGUUCUGAGAGGAAGGUCCCCCACACUGGUACUGAGACACGGACCAGACUCCUACGGGAGGCAGCAGUGAGGAAUAUUGGUCAAUGGGCGGGAGCCUGAACCAGCCAAGUAGCGUGCAGGAAGACGGCCCUACGGGUUGUAAACUGCUUUUAUGAGGGGAUAAAGGGCAUCACGUGUGGUGUUUUGCAGGUACCUCAUGAAUAAGGACCGGCUAAUUCCGUGCCAGCAGCCGCGGUAAUACGGAAGGUCCGGGCGUUAUCCGGAUUUAUUGGGUUUAAAGGGAGCGUAGGCGGAAGGUUAAGCGUGACGUGAAAUGUACCGGCUCAACCGGUGACGUGCGUCGUGAACUGGCUUUCUUGAGUGUGCAAAAGGAAGGCGGAAAUUCCUGGUGUAGCGGUGAAAUGCUUAGAUAUCACGAAAAAACUUCCGAUUUGCGAAGGCAGCUUUCCGUAGCAUUACUGACGCUGAAGCUCGAAAGCGCGGGUAUCGAACAGGAUUAGAUACCCUGGUAGUCCGCGCGGUAAACGAUGGAUACCCGCUGUCCGGCUUAUGUGUCGGGUGGCCAAGCGAAAGCAUUAAGUAUCCCACCUGGGGAGUACGCCGGCAACGGUGAAACUCAAAGGAAUUGACGGGGGCCCGCACAAGCGGAGGAACAUGUGGUUUAAUUCGAUGAUACGCGAGGAACCUUACCCGGGCUUGAACUGCAGCAGAACGAGAGAGAGAUCUUGAGGCCCUUCGGGGCUGCUGUGGAGGUGCUGCAUGGUUGUCGUCAGCUCGUGCCGUGAGGUGUCGGCUUAAGUGCCAUAACGAGCGCAACCCCUGCGGUCAGUUGCCAUCAGGUGAUGCUGGGCACUCUGGCCGGACUGCCACCGUAAGGUGUGAGGAGGGUGGGGAUGACGUCAAAUCAGCACGGCCCUUACGUCCGGGGCUACACACGUGUUACAAUGGGGCAUACAGAGAGCCGGUCGUGCGCAAGUACGAUCCAAUCCUUAAAGUGCCUCGUAGUUCGGAUUGGGGUCUGCAACCCGACCCCAUGAAGCUGGAUUCGCUAGUAAUCGCGCAUCAGCCAUGGCGCGGUGAAUACGUUCCCGGGCCUUGUACACACCGCCCGUCAAGCCAUGAAAGCCGGGGGCGCCUGAAGUCCGUGACCGCAAGGAUCGGCCUAGGGCGAAACCGGUGAUUGGGGC
This 1455-nucleotide ribosomal RNA is filed under the name uncultured rumen bacterium. Its description in RNAcentral is "16S ribosomal RNA". It matches the Rfam family "Bacterial small subunit ribosomal RNA". The record is from RNAcentral.